CUGGUUUCUCUUCAGAUUGCAUAGAUCUUUCACCUUUUACUAAAGAUUUCCAUUGAGGGUUAACAUUAUUUCAAUAUAGAUUUUGUGUGUGAAUUCAAAGAUUUGCU
RNAcentral lists this small nuclear RNA (107 nucleotides) under Alligator mississippiensis (American alligator). RNAcentral describes it as "U5 spliceosomal RNA". It matches the Rfam family "U5 spliceosomal RNA". From Rfam's summary of the family: U5 RNA is a component of both types of known spliceosome. The precise function of this molecule is unknown, though it is known that the 5' loop is required for splice site selection and p220 binding, and that both the 3' stem-loop and the Sm site are important for Sm protein binding and cap methylation. The record is from Rfam by way of RNAcentral. Lineage: Eukaryota; Metazoa; Chordata; Crocodylia; Alligatoridae.